UCAAGGUGCCUUUUAGGCAUCCUCUCCCACAACUUUUAUGGGCUGGUCUCUGGACCGGCCCUUUUUUUGUGCCGCA
RNAcentral lists this small RNA (76 nucleotides) under Novosphingobium sp. AP12. RNAcentral describes it as "Makes More Granules Regulator RNA (mmgR)". It matches the Rfam family "Makes More Granules Regulator RNA (mmgR)". From Rfam's summary of the family: SuhB later renamed mmgR (makes more granules regulator) was a putative non-coding RNA found multiple times in the Agrobacterium tumefaciens genome and related alpha-proteobacteria. Other non-coding RNAs uncovered in the same analysis include: speF, ybhL, metA, and serC. Lineage: Bacteria; Pseudomonadati; Pseudomonadota; Alphaproteobacteria; Sphingomonadales; Sphingomonadaceae. The record is from Rfam by way of RNAcentral.